This is a long non-coding RNA of Peromyscus eremicus (cactus mouse), 1179 nucleotides long. RefSeq lists it as uncharacterized. The record is from RefSeq and is a predicted model, not a curated record. The transcript has 4 exons. NCBI's taxonomy places the organism in Eukaryota, Metazoa, Chordata, Mammalia, Rodentia, Cricetidae.
ACCGGGAACACCUACAUUUCUCCUAAUGACUUGAGGAAGCACUUGGAGAGAGAUGCAGUUGGGAUACCUUGAUUGUAGCUAAGUGAUCCCCAGCUGGAUGUUCGUCCUAUGCAAUUAUAAGACGAUGAGUCUCUGCUGGUUUGGGGUAAGAUGUUAAUGUGGAGUUACUGAUUUGAAGAAUGAAUGCCUUUGGAAUGUGUACCUGGCAGAGCAGUUGUGGAAUUCUGCACUCUCAGCAGUGAGGAGUGGGAGUCUCCUGCCUCUGUACUGUCAAGCUUCUCAAGUUCUAUCGGUGUGAUAGUUCUUAGCAGGUAUACAUUCCACGAACACUCUCUGCCAUGUGCUCCCGGAAGAGGAAAAAAAUAAGGGGGCGGUGCUGAGGAGAAAAGGAACGGUUUUCAGCUAUCUUCCCCCAAAUGUGCCCUUUGAAAGCUGCUCAUCCCGUGAACUCCACCCAGAUUCUCAUCUUGAGGCUGUGGUGGAGACUAUGCCCAAAUGGAGAGUCCAGAAAUGACAGCAGACAAUCUCAAAGCAAAACUGUGGAGAAUUUCAGGAAAACCACAGCAGAGCCUUCAAUCAAGUGUGGGGCCUUCUCGUCACAGACUCUGGAGUACUUACCGCAUUGGCAGCGUGACCAUGAAAUUUACCCUGUGGGUGAUUAACAACUACCGGUUUACACAAACUUGUGAGUAACUAGUCAUGGGAUCUAGUGAAAAUAUUUUAAAUGAUGAAAACUCAUAACUUCUGCUUGCUUAUUUUUAAAAUUAUAUUUCAUUACAUAGGACAUCCCAUUACCAAUCAUUUCUGAAAAUACGUCGCCCCCAGCCCACUAAAUUUCCUAACGUGUACAUUCAUUCCAGAGAAAUGCACCACUGGCUAAGUCUUGAAAAUGUCUUAGUUACAAAAAACUUCUGAAGUAAACAACACUCCCCUCUGCCUGAUUCAGCUUAUAGUUCUGGACUCGUAAGCCACUAUGUCCACUUGGCAAUUUGAAAUCAGAAACAACUUGUGUUACAGCUGAGUUUUCCUUCCUUCUGAGGACGUGGAGUCAACCUCAGAUGAUCACGCAAACAUUUGUGUGUACAGUGUUUGCCCAAGAUGCAACACAUGGAAGCACACAGGAAACACACAGGAAUCUGGCCGUAGAAGCAGAAAGAGUGCAACAGAGGGAGAGAACAA